UACAGAGGGUGCGAGCGUUAAUCGGAAUUACUGGGCGUAAAGGGCGCGUAGGCGGUAGUGCAAGUCGUUUGUGAAAUUCCUGGGCUCAACCUAGGGACUGCUGACGAGACUGUGCUGCUAGAGUACUGUAGAGGGCGGUGGAAUUUCCGGUGUAGCGGUGAAAUGCGUAGAGAUCGGAAGGAACACCAGUGGCGAAGGCGGCCGCCUGGGCAGUAACUGACGCUGAUGCGCGAGAGCGUGGGGAGCAAGCAGG
This 253-nucleotide ribosomal RNA is filed under the name uncultured bacterium. Its description in RNAcentral is "partial 16S ribosomal RNA". It matches the Rfam family "Bacterial small subunit ribosomal RNA", at positions 524 to 776 of the family's 1533-position model. The record is from RNAcentral.